Molecule: ribosomal RNA, 253 nt
Filed under: uncultured bacterium
Lineage: Bacteria
Description: partial 16S ribosomal RNA
Rfam family: Bacterial small subunit ribosomal RNA
Source: RNAcentral
UACAGAGGGGGCAAGCGUUAUUCGGAAUUAUUGGGCGUAAAGGGCGCGUAGGCGGCGAUUCAAGUGACGGGUGAAAUCCCUCGGCUUAACCGAGGAACUGCCUGUCAGACUGGGUUGCUUGAGACCGGGAGAGGCGAGUGGAAUUCCCAGUGUAGCGGUGAAAUGCGUAGAUAUCUGGAGGAACACCGGUGGCGAAGGCGGCAUCCUGGACCGGCAUUGACGCUGAGGCGCGAAAGCCAGGGGAGCAAACGGG